GGCGCCCACCGUAAGCCUCCCGGGCCUUGUGAACCUGCAAACCCAAGUCUGAGAGACGAUCCGCCUUCAGCGCUUUCCAGCUUGGCAGAGAGGCUUUCCCGGCGGGGAUCUUUGGUUGGCGCUGGCGAUGCGCGGGGAAGAAAGGCGAGGAGCGGCGUCCAGGCUGGGUGAUGUCCCAGCACGAGUAGGCGGGAUGCGCUCGCUUGGUCCUCCGGGCGCCCGGUCCCUGCCCGCGUCGCGCGCCCACCCCUGGGGACGAGAAGGCGGCCGCCUGAGGACCCCCGCCCGCGACCUCCGCGAGUCUGGAGCGCAGAGGACAGGGUCUGGCUGCUCUUUGGCCUUGGAUGGAAAGUGGGGAAUUGGGUGGGGGGCUGCGGACCCCUUAACGUGGAUUACUUGGUGUGUAUCAGCUGGGCUCAGAAGACCCACGACCUCUUCUCCAUCCGUGGAUUGAUUUGUUCUGCUUAACAGCUGGGUCGCCAAGCUGGAGGUGGAAUCAGAGGUUUCUGGCUGACUCGGUGGGUGCUUUGAACCAGGAAAGGACAAGAAAGAGGUGCCACCUCCUGAGUCCUGGUUCCUGCGGCUCCGUCGAAUCUGCAGUGAAGGCCUUUGGGAAGCGUGGGUUAUGUGGGUCCAGGGGUCCCAUCCUCCCGUGGAGGCCCUUGACCUGAGGAUCACUAACUCACACCCCACCGACUUCCGGCCCCCAACAAGGGCAGUGUUCCUCUUGCUCCAUUCUGCUCUGAAGUCCCCCAAACCGCUUCCUGGGGCUGCUUAGUGAAAUACAAGGCUCAUCUCUGAGGACCUCUACAGGGCUGGAUGGGAAGGACUGAUCCACAUUCCCACCAGGAAGUUUAGCAGAACCCCCGCGUGCCACCUGGACCCCUUGGAAGGACCUGGCUCAGGCUGGACCACCUCUUGAGAGGCAGGAGCUCUGGAUUUGAUCAAGAAUUCUUUGCUGAGCAUGGUGCCUCAUGCCUAUAAUCCCAACACUUUGGGAGGCCAGUGUGGGAGGAUCUCUUGAGCCCAGGAGUUCAAGACUAGCCUGGGCAACACAGAGAGACCCCAUCUCUAAAAUAAUAAUAAUAAUAAAAUAAAAAAUUAGCAGGGCAUGGUGGCAUGUGCCUGUAGUCCCAGCUACCCAGGAGGCUGAGGCAAGAGGAUGGCUGGAGCCUGGGAUGUUGAGGCUGCAAUGAACUGUGAUUACCCCACUGCACUCCAGCCUGGGCAAAAGAGCGAGAGACCCUGUCUCAAAUAAUAAUAAUAAUAAUAAUCUUAUUUUGGAGAAUAAAGAGACCUCUGGAUUUGAGGUGCCAUUUGGGUAGAAAGAAAAGACGUUUACACCGAGAAAUAGUCUGUGUUGCCCUGAAGGAGCAGAGGGAUGCAUCGCUGGAGGUGACCUACAGUUGAAGAAGACUCAUUAUGACAGACCUUGUCCUUCUUCCUUGUGGAAAGUGUUUCCUCUGCUGCUACUGCUCAUGAGACUCUUCCCCCUCCCUGUCCCAGGGAACCAAAGGGCUUUCUACCACACCCUUUCUUGCCCCCCGCCUCCCAUGUCUGCUGUGCCUUUGUACUCAGCAAUUCUUGUUUGCUCCAUUAUCUUCCAGCCGGAUACAGAGUGAAUAGUUAACCACACUUAGGUCAAAUAGGAUCUAAAUUUUUGUUCCUGCUCCGUGUAAAGAGGCCAGUGUUUGUGUGUUGCAAGCAGCCUUGGAAUAGUAACUCUUCUCAUUUGUUUGGGAUCUGGCCACCAAGUUCCAGAAUGAUACACGGAUCAGUGCAGAAGUUCAUCAGGCUCUCGGACCUUAGGGCUGUUGGAGAAGGCUUCAGCAGCAGAACUGAUGGUGAAGGCUCGUGUUCUCCAUCCUCAACUUUCUUUGCUUCGAUCAUACACAAGAAUACAUUUGGAAGGGCAAAAAAUGAACACUGUCGUUCAUUGCAGCCGUGUUUUGUGACACAGAUGCACAGUCUGCUGUGAAGACCUUCUCUCAAGUGGCAUUUGGGAGUCCAUGCCAGAUCAUGGUGCUUCAUGAGAGACUGACAGCUAUCAGGGGUUGUGGCACUUAGUGAGGACUCUCCUCCCCCAGUGUGUGCUGAUGACACAUACACACCUGACAAUAGCUUGAGUCUUCUCUGUUCCUUUUACUCUGUAGCCAACAUACACAUGAUUUAAAACCCUUUCUAAAUAUCUAUCAUGGUUCAUCCUUGUCCAAAUGCAGAGUCAGAGCUAUUUGUACUUCAUUAUUAUUUCCAAGGCGAAUAGUUGGCUUUCUUUUUGCAAAAAUAAUUAAA
Molecule: long non-coding RNA, 2292 nt
Filed under: Homo sapiens (human)
Lineage: Eukaryota; Metazoa; Chordata; Mammalia; Primates; Hominidae
Description: long intergenic non-protein coding RNA 511
Source: RNAcentral